UACGUAGGUGGCAAGCGUUGUCCGGAAUUAUUGGGCGUAAAGCGCGCGCAGGCGGUUCCUUAAGUCUGAUGUGAAAGCCCCCGGCUCAACCGGGGAGGGUCAUUGGAAACUGGGGAACUUGAGUACUGAAGAGGAAAGCGGAAUUCCACGUGUAGCGGUGAAAUGCGUAGAUAUGUGGAGGAACACCAGUGGCGAAGGCGACUCUCUGGUCUGUAACUGACGCUGAGGCGCGAAAGCGUGGGGAGCAAACAGG
RNAcentral lists this ribosomal RNA (253 nucleotides) under uncultured bacterium. Its description in RNAcentral is "partial 16S ribosomal RNA". It matches the Rfam family "Bacterial small subunit ribosomal RNA", at positions 524 to 776 of the family's 1533-position model. The record is from RNAcentral.